RNAcentral lists this microRNA precursor (85 nucleotides) under Agrilus planipennis (emerald ash borer). RNAcentral's name for it is "mir-275 microRNA precursor family". It matches the Rfam family "mir-275 microRNA precursor family". The record is from Rfam by way of RNAcentral. Lineage: Eukaryota; Metazoa; Arthropoda; Insecta; Coleoptera; Buprestidae.
CAGCCUGUUGCUAUGCGCGUUACUUCGGUGCUUGGCUGCGUUUCGUCGAGUCAGGUACCUGAAGUAGCGCGCGUAGCGACACGGA